CAGUUCUAAAAGUAGCGAAGAGAGAAGGCGGAAAAGAGGGACGAAGAAAAGUGAGCGAAAAACACGAACGGAACGUAUGCAAGCCUGCGCACAGUUGCGGAGGCAUUGACCCACCUACAAACCCACUCCACUAGUGCCACCCUUACCCACACGUGCACAUCCACGACACAGACGGGGGAUAGACAGCCUGGGUGCAGAGUCGCGGAGCUGACCGCGUGUCCCUGUGCGCCACUUGCUGUGUUUGGUUGCCUUGAACACCCCUCCACUCCCUGCCGCCUAAGAAGCACGGAUCUCUUAUCAUAACCAGCUUUGCUGGCUUAUCACACCUGACUUUUUCCCCCUCCGCCUUCUCCACUUCCUUCCUGUAUUGCUGGAAAAUCUGCGCUGCCUCUUUCUCUUUUUAUCGCUCUUUGUGCGUGGUUCGCCGGUGGCUGUUCGCCGCGUCUGCUACAUAUACAUCGUUUUCUCUCCGCCAGUGAGUGAGUGCGUCGCAGAACAUCUCCCUCUCUCUGUUGUUGUUCCGCUGCUCACGCUUGUGUUUCUGGUCCACCUAUCUCUGCGCACGUGCCUGUUUUUGUGAAUGUGACAACCACGGGCGAGGCGCAUUCAACGCCACCAACACACACGCACAGAGAACGUACAGGCAGGCACAGAUUUUCUCUGCUGCUGUUCUCCUCUCUCUGCCGUCUAUUCACUUUGCCGUGCCGCCGCUGUAAGCCAGGGAAGACACUCCCCGACCCGUCCUCACUGCUCCUUCUCUGCAGCCCCCGACCUAAUCCCACAGGGACACUCCAGAAGAGGGAGGGGGAGGGGGAGGGGAGGGCGAACGCGUUCUGAGAGUCGCGAUCCGCGUUGCAUCGUCGCUCCUGUGUACUUCACCGCAGCGUCUGCACAAGAUUCUCCAGGGGCAAUGCUGAAUCGUCGGCGUAAUGCUGAUCAGCGACAUGGCCCCGGCGCUGCGGUUGCUCCGCCACCAGGCGCUGCCGCCGCCGCAGCGGGCAACGCUGUGACCUCGUCGUCAGGCGCUAUAAGCUCUGCCUCCGUCAGUGUCUCCGCCGCCGGGCCAAGCAGCCAUGCGCACGAGAUUCACUCGUCCACAGCUCUGGAUGAGGUGAUCAACGAGCGAGUGGCUGCGUUCGCACCGUGCAACCUCCCGUCGCUAGUCAACGAUGACACCAUGGACGAGGCGAGUGGCGGGGUCGGCACAUUGGGGGACGUCACGCUGGUGGGGGGGACCACGCGCUACCGGGUGCGCAUCACGCAGGCCGUUCUGCUUAUGUACCUCCACAUCGGCAGCGACCCACCCGGCUUUCCCCGUGUGGAGCCGUGUGCGAAGAUGGAGUGCUGGGUCGACCCGAUGGUGGCGCACGUCGCCAAGAGCGCCCACCGCAGCGGCCGCGGUAGCGGCGCCGGCGGUGGCAGCGAUAGCAUCGCCGAGACCCUCGAGCGGCAGUACCGCAGCGUGCUGCGUGACGACGUUGGCGUUAUGCGCGUUGUGGAGGCGAGCCUGGAGGUGUCCAAGUCGGCGCUCGCGAAGAGUCGUCGCAUGUCCCGCGACGGCCGCAUUUUAAUUCACUACAACGGCCACGGCAUGCCGCGCGCCACGGAUCUGGGGGAAGUGUGGGUGUUCGAUAAAGAGCGCACGCACUACGUCCCUCUCAACAUCACCGAGAUGGCGGAGCUGGCCGACACGCCGGCCAUCUACGUCUUCGACUGCAACUCCGCCGGAUCCUUGCUGCAGAGAUGGUGCAGAGACCGGCUGCACGAGAAGCGGCCGCAUGACUUAUUCGUUUGCGCCUGCAGCCCCGGGGAGACACUGCCACUGAGCCCAGCCCUGCCGGCGGAUCUGCUGACGUCGUGCUUGACGACACCGCUGCGGAUGGCGCUGGAGUGGUACAUUGGCUUCUCCUUCCACGCGAUGCUGCUGCCGCACGUGACGGCGGACAUGAUUCGCAACAUGCCUGGCGAUUGCAACGACCGCAAGUCCCCGCGCGGCGAGCUUAACUGGAUUCUCAACGCCGUGACAGACACGAUUGCAUGGUGCACCUUGCCACCAGCGCAGUUCCACUACCUGUUUCGCCAAGGGACCUCCAUCAAGGGUAUUUUCCGCAACUGCAUCCUAGCCGACCGGCUGCUGCGCGAGUCCGGCUGCACCCCCAUGACAUACCCGGCCCUCUCCGAGGAGGCGCACCUGCAUCCCAUGUGGGAGCUAUGGGAGUACACGGUGGACAAGUGCGUGAGCCAGCUGCCGCGCUUGCUGGCCGCCACGGACGAGGCCCCUGCCGCCUAUGAGCCGUCGAGUUUCUUCGAUGACCAGCUCACGGCCUUUGAGGUGUGGGUGGAGUCGGGUGAUAUGGCGGAGGUGCCGGAGCAGCUGCCGUGCGUGCUCCUCGCGCUUACCCAGGUGCUCUACCGCGUGCGGGCUUUCACGCUGCUCGCAAAGUACCUCGACUCGGGCCGAACAGCCGGCAAGCGUGCGAUCCUGUGCGGCAUACUGCCGUACAUGAGCAAGCUCGUCACGCAGGCGCCGGAGGUUUUUCUCAUUGUGACGGUCUUGUGGAUGCAAGUCAUCCGCGCCGACCCGGCGGAGGGAUGCAACGAGAUGCAGAAAUGCCAGUGCGAAAAAUACUUCACGAGCCUCCUCAAGCUGGAGGAGUCUUCCACGCUGAUCGAGUACGUCGAGUACGGUCAGAUGGUGAACUACGCACGGGUGGAGUCGCCGCAGAUGCCCAGCCCAAGCUUUUCGCCGACGACCGCCACCGCGGCACCGCGGCAGAAGCGCGCCGAGUUCCAGCCCCGCUCGCAGACAUGGGCUAGCACGACGAGCCUUGAAGGCGCCGCGGAGGCGGGCGAGCAGCCGCUGCAGCCCAUGCAACCGAUGCGCUCCCCGCUGGCCGAGGCGCCGCCGCCGCCGCCCGCACAGUCUGACCUGGCCGCGGCAAAGCUGAACAGCGUCGCGAACCAUCUUGUGAAUCCAGGCCACACCGUGUACUUCCUGAUGAAAGACGUGAACCUUUCCCGGUGCAAGAGCAUGGCGUGCUACGUGCUGUGCCAGUUUCUGCAGCGCGGCGAGCGACAGUGCAUCCUGUCGUGGAACAACCGCCUCCUCAACGCCGCCUUUCCGUGCUUGUCCUCGACAAAUGCGGAGCUGCGAUCGUGGGCGUGCCUGGUGCUGUCGCGUCUUUUUCUCGGGCUGCGACAUGCCAAGAAAUUCGCCUCGAAAGAGUGCACCUCGCGUCUCGACCUGUUUACGCGGCUGCUGCAGGACCGCUCGCCGGUCGUGCGCAGCUCCUGCGUCACCCUUCUUGCCAGCAUCGUGGGCGUGCGAGUCGACCUGUUGCCACACGACCAGCAGGUCCGUCGUCUGCACAUGGAGAAGUCUUUGCUGAUCAAGCUGCGCGAGUACAUAUUCGACGCGAGCAUGAAUGUCCGCGAGGAGCUCAUUUUUUUCUGUUGCGAGGUGUUGCACGCCUACCGCGGCGUCCUCUCCCUCGCGCACCGCGAAAAUAUCUCCGAGUACGUGCUGGAGGUGGGCCAGCAGGGCAACCGGUGGGUGCUGGAGGAGGCUCAGGUUGGUGUCAAGUCGCAGCUCAACGCCGCCCGCCCCACCGUCAGCUCACUCUUCGACGACACGGUCGUCUUCGACACGUCUUUCUUGACAGCCGAUGAUCCACUGCCACCGACGCGCGAGGUCGAGGCGAGCCAGCUCUCACCAGCCGCCCUGCAAAUGGUGGAGGGCUUGCUGCACGACGCGGCACUGGUGCUGUGCAUGCUCUACGCAAACUGCGACGGUGUGCUGGUGAACAAGGCGCUGCGCUACCUCUCAAACGGCGCUCCGCCGCAGUCACAGCGCUUCGCCUCGGAGGCUCUGCGCACGAUGUCGCGCGUGGCCUCUGCCGAGUCAGCCGAGUACUGGUCCGAGGCCGACCGCACGCGCGCCACGUGGAACACCGACAUCAUGAGGCAGCUGGUGCUCGACAUGCGGGACCGCAAGCUGGAGCCUCACCGCCGCUACACAUACACGGGGAGCAGCCCGCUACUCUUGCAGGACCCCAAUGGGCACCUCGACACAAACAGCAACGGUGCCGCCUCGGCGGAAGCGUUGUCGGUGUCCCGCAGGAACACCGAGGCGGAGCGGCACCUCGUGCUGCGCAGCGCCGUGCGCCCGGACACGGUUGUGUGCACUACGUUUCGCGCACUCGAGGCGUCUAUCGUGGUUGCUACGAAGAACCAGCGCAUCUCAUACAUCUCGUACGACAACUACAAUUCACAGCAGGAACUGCACAGCUUUCCAGUGCAGCUAUCGGGACCACUGCAUGACGUGCAUAUAAUCAACGACCUUUCAGAGCAGUCAGGGCUGCUGCUGGUCGACAAGCGCGGUGUAUUCACGCUCAUGAAGGGCUGCUGGGACCCCAACUCGGUGCCCACCGAGGCCGCCGUGUUCUCUGCCUGCCCGCCGCCGCCGGCGAACCGCUGGUUGGAUCUGAAGUCAACGUACCGAAGCAGUGCAGCGGUGCUCUUCUACGGCGGCCCCAUCGCGACAGACGGCGGCACGGCGAUCCACAUGGUGUCACUCGCCGAGGAGCAGGUAGUGCAGCGACUGAGCGUGUCGGGCAACCCCGUGCUGACGAGCCUCGAGACGCACACGACGCAGCGCGCGCUGCUGGCGGGUUUCUCAGACGGCGUUGUCCGCUACUACGACGACCGUCAGCGGCAGGGGCAGAUGGGCGCCGUGGGCAUGGUGAGCUGUCGUGCUCCCGGUGCGGCAGUAGCGGCAGCCGUGGAGGCGGUCGUCGGCGCCGGGCCCAUCGCGACCAACACCGGCUUCUCCAUCGCUGCCGCCACCCGUAGCGCAUUCUUUAUCUUCGACCCGCGCAAGCUGAGUGAGCCGCAGCUGUGUGUGACCCACCAAGAUCUCUACUACGGCCACGGUAGGGUCGAGGGAGCGUCGCUCGACAUCGGCGGUGUUGGCGCCGAUGCCGCGGCCGCCUCGCUGUCGUCGUUGCCCAACACAAGCACUGUCCCAGUCCCCUGCCCUCCACUGGCCCCCCGUAUCGUGCGUUGCUCUGUUGGCAUCCACACGGGGCUAGUGGGCCUUUGCUUCCAGAAUAACACGUACGCCGCUUUCAACACGAAGGGGCUGAUCUUGAACGAGCGCCCGCUGGCGGUGAUGGCGGACGGUGUCGUGGAGCCCGCCUUGUCACAGCAGCUGCAGCAGGGACGCCAAUCCUCGGGCCCGCCAAUUUUGCCGGGCAGCUGCGUGGCGCAUCCCUUGCGUCCUCUCAUGACGUUUGGUGGCGAGCUCAUGUUCUUGCAACUGUAGCGUCACCCCCCUUCCCCCACCAUGUCGAUCCACUGUCCGAUACGUGUCUGCGACUGUGUGGUGCCGCACACGCGUGCGACUGUUAUUUCGCUUCUCGUCAUCCCCACUGUACUCCGCGAGACAAACCACUCACAAGGCGGCAGUCGGCUCUGUCGUAGCCGUGGCAGCAGCGGCGGCAGCCCGCGCUCUGUAGGGCUUCAUGAACGAAGGGCCAUGCCCUGAAGCUGAAGCGCGUGCUACAGAGCAAGGAGGCGCUUCAGCGCGUCUACGGCUUGUUGACGACCACCGAGGGCCACAGGUAGCAGCUUGGCCCUACGUGCGCACUGCAACAUGCCAAGCGAGGGAAAGGGCUACCCAUCUCCUUUCUCCACUGCGUGAAGGACGAAUAGCCGCAACGCUCGCACCUCGUGUGUGUGCAUCCGCCACGCUUGUUGUUCUCCCGUCGCGUGUGUGGCGUGUGACUCUCUGAAGGCAUAUGCGCUUGACGGCGGGGGUGUUGUGCGCUUUUGUGUGCGUGUGCGCUUCUUUG
RNAcentral lists this unclassified non-coding RNA (5852 nucleotides) under Leishmania donovani. Its description in RNAcentral is "gene:LdHU3.25.0740(CDS-product:Raptor_N-inal_CASP ase_like_domain_containing_protein_putative)". The record is from RNAcentral. Lineage: Eukaryota; Euglenozoa; Kinetoplastea; Trypanosomatida; Trypanosomatidae.